Molecule: long non-coding RNA, 440 nt
Filed under: Rattus norvegicus (Norway rat)
Lineage: Eukaryota; Metazoa; Chordata; Mammalia; Rodentia; Muridae
Description: long non-coding RNA NONRATT004304
Source: RNAcentral
GUGUGCCCAGGCCCACAGACACAUGCACCCACACAGACACAGAGGGAACGGGCUGGGAUGGGGACUGUGUGCACAGCAGGGCGGGUAGGACCCCCCACAGCCCCUUCCCAAACAGCCUCUUAACCCUUACACCCCUUUCCUCCUCUCUUACCCCAUGGUAGGAACAUAGCGUGUUUAUAUUUUAUGGCCAAACUAUUUUGAAUUUUGUUGUCUGGCCCUCAGUGCCCUGCCCUCUCCCUUUGCAGGACCACAGCUCCGGUCCUCUGGCUUUGGUCCUCCCUGUUCUCCACCCUGGUUUCUUAAGUAGUUGGUUCUUCUUAGUCUUCCUGACCCUCAACCCGUGGUCUCAGUCCUGCUCCUCCCCUCUGUGGCAGUUUCAUAUUUGCUAAUACGAAUUUGCUCAUUAAACAUUUUGUUGUAUUAAAAAAAAAAAAAAAAAA